CCUACGGGAGGCAGCAGUGAGGAAUAUUGGUCAAUGGGCGAGAGCCUGAACCAGCCAAGUCGCGUGAGGGAGUACUGCCCUAUGGGUUGUAAACCUCUUUUGUCGGGGAGCAAAAGCCGGACGUGUCCGGCUGUGAGAGUACCCGAAGAAAAAGCAUCCGCAAACUCCGUGCCAGCAGCCGCGGUAAUACGGAGGAUGCGAGCGUUAUCCGGAUUUAUUGGGUUUAAAGGGUGCGCAGGCGGAUUUUUAAGUCAGCGGUAAAAUCGUGGGGCUCAACCCCAUCCAGCCGUUGAAACUGGGGAUCUAGAGUGUGCGAGAGGUAGGCGGAAUGCGUGGUGUAGCGGUGAAAUGCAUAGAUAUCACGCAGAACCCCGAUUGCGAAGGCAGCAUACCGGUGCACAACUGACGCUCAGGCACGAAAGCGUGGGUAUCGAACAGGAUUAGAUACCCCGGUAGUC
This 458-nucleotide ribosomal RNA is filed under the name uncultured bacterium. RNAcentral describes it as "partial 16S ribosomal RNA". It matches the Rfam family "Bacterial small subunit ribosomal RNA", at positions 338 to 795 of the family's 1533-position model. The record is from RNAcentral.